ACACAACCUGAAUAUAAUAAUAAUAAUACAACCCCUGACUAGGAUCUUGCCAGGUUUAAGUAUGAUUUAAGUCACCUGAAUAUUACAAUACCAUAAAUCUUAAAUCCGAAUAAACUCACUAAUUAUUACAAUACCAUAACUUAUAAUAUCUGACUCCACUACCUCAAACAUGCCCAACAUGGGUGGAGGGAUGGAACCCCGUCCACUACUGGUCAAUGGUCGUCUAGGCGGUCUCGUUCUAGGCAUCUGAAACAGUUAUGUAAAUAUUGUGCAAGGGUGAGCUAUGGAUCGCUCAGCAGUACCAAUAUGAAUAAAUAGAAGAUAAAAUCAUAAAACAGUUUAUAAGAGCAAGAGAAUAGAAAACAUGCAUGCUUCGAACAUAACACAGUAAAUCAUCAUUUGAUAUGAAACUGGAAAUCAACAUUUAUUAGCAUGCUGGAAAAUGUGAUAAUCAUAAGUUUUAGUUUCAAAAUUUUAUCACUAGCAUGCUAUACAGGUUUUUAUCUAAAACGAAUAUCAGAUAUAUUGGACGCUAACAGGUGAAGACAGCUGAUCAGUCUAUCAACACUGGACGGCUCUAGUCGGCCAUCACGAAAUAAUGUUCCGGAACCUAAAGACUAGCUAGGUCUUUAGACGCUGGACCAGGUGGUUUUGGGUGUGUAAACCACGCAAGCCUCUUACGCCACCAUGCUGGGUCGUUAUCAAAUAACGGAACCUCUUACGCAGCUCCAAAUAGAAAUAUCUGAUCCAUUUCCAGUUUCAGUUUGAUUUGUAUCCAUCCCAUUUUCAAAACCAUUACAUGAUAUUCAUGAAUCAAUACCAUGUCUCAAAAAUUAUAUCACAGGUUUAGCAAUGAUAAUCACUAAACAUUUUCAGAAUUUAAAUCUCAACCGGGAUAGAUAUUCACAAGUUACUAUUCCCCUAAAACAAUUUAAAAAGAUAUUUGAAUUCCAUAGUAACCGGGGAAUAUGUACUUAAAACAUUUGACAUUUGAGAUGCAUUCUUGCUCUACUUUAUUCAUAUAUAAUCUGAACCAUCGAGAGUAUGGUCAGUGGUACUUGCCUUGCUGAGGUAUAGGAAUCAGAUGCUAUGAAGGGAGUCGACUAGCCUUUCGAAAACUGGUGUCCCGAAACAGAACCUACAGGAUCGAACAAUCCUAAGUUAGACAGUCUCUAUGUC
RNAcentral lists this long non-coding RNA (1179 nucleotides) under Daucus carota (carrot). Its description in RNAcentral is "long non-coding RNA (DCAR_LNC007522)". Lineage: Eukaryota; Viridiplantae; Streptophyta; Magnoliopsida; Apiales; Apiaceae. The record is from RNAcentral.